Long non-coding RNA from Triticum urartu, 513 nucleotides. RefSeq lists it as uncharacterized. NCBI's taxonomy places the organism in Eukaryota, Viridiplantae, Streptophyta, Magnoliopsida, Poales, Poaceae. The record is from RefSeq and is a predicted model, not a curated record.
CGUAUUAUGGAGAAGGUGCUCUGGAUGGUCCUAACACGCUCAUAAACAUGGAUGUGCCUUGCUACCCUCCGGGUGAUGUUCCUAAGACGGGAACCAAAUGAAGAAUCGGUGAAGGGUACAACCAAUAAAGAUGAUGCCGGGAACUUGAUGACCUCUGAUAGCAAUGUUAUCGGUGCUCCACCUCCGGAGAAAGCAUGUGGAAGAUCAUUUCCUUUGUUCUCUGAAUUACAUGCACUUUGGUGAACAAAAAGUAUGAUUGGUGUUCCUGGUGAAAAUGAGUGAAGCUAGAAGAUGCUAUGAGAAGGAACUUGCCAAGACUAUUUGAAGAACAGCCUGAUCUCCUGCAUGAGGGUAACAUUUUUAUUUUGUGUAAUGACCUAGUAAUUAUGAUAACAUGAACUCAUUGUUUGCAACGUAACCUAGUAAAUGCUUUUAGGAACUAGAGUUCAUGUGGACUGGAAACUACUUAGCAUCCUUCAAUGAAUCAAAGAGAGCAUUAUGCAUUUUUCUUCA